This 418-nucleotide ribosomal RNA is filed under the name uncultured ammonia-oxidizing beta proteobacterium. RNAcentral describes it as "bacterial SSU rRNA". It matches the Rfam family "Bacterial small subunit ribosomal RNA", at positions 197 to 597 of the family's 1533-position model. Lineage: Bacteria; Pseudomonadati; Pseudomonadota; Betaproteobacteria. The record is from RNAcentral.
UGGAGGAAAGCAGGGGAUCGCAAGACCUUGCGCUUUUGGAGUGGCCGAUGCCUGAUUAGCUAGUUGGUGGGGUAUGGCCUACCAAGGCGACGAUCAGUAGUUGGUCUGAGAGGACGACCGGCCACACUGGGACUGAGACACGGCCCAGACUCCUACGGGAGGCAGCGGUGGGGAAUUUUGGACAAUGGGCGAAAGCCUGAUCCAGCAAUGCCGCGUGAGUGAAGAAGGCCUUCGGGUUGUAAAGCUCUUUCAGUCGAGAAGAAAAGGUUGUGACUAAUAAUCACAACUCAUGACGGUAUCGACAGAAGAAGCACCGGCUAACUACGUGCCAGCAGCCGCGGUAAUACGUAGGGUGCGAGCGUUAAUCGGAAUUACUGGGCGUAAAGGGUGCGCAGGCGGCUUUGUAAGUCAGAUGUGA